UUCACAUGCCAAACUAACAAAUAAAAUCGUGACACGUGAAUUUUAAUUUAAACAAAUAAAAAAGGACUUUUUUAUAUAAAAAAAAAAAAACAAUUAAAACAUUGUUUCUCUCUCUUCCCAAAAAAGCACCGCUCCCCCUCCCCCUCCCCACCCUCUUUCUCUUCCGCCAUUCUUCCUCUUCUUUUCUUGCUCUUCUUCUCUCAUUUACACCGUGUUUUUUCCUUCCUAUUUCAUGUUAGUUUCUUAUUUUGCUCGAUAUAAUUUUUAUGCUAAUUGUUGAUGAUGAAUAUUUGCCCUCUCUAUCACUUAUAUUCUCUUGCUCGACUCUUCUUCUUCUGAAAUGGCAAUGGUGAAGAAAAAGGCACAAUAAUCUCUGUGCUCAGUGGCAAGCAAGUUCUUCUAAUUUCUUCUGCUUUCCAAAUAUACAUUGCUGUUGUGACAAAUUGUUCGAUGAUAUGACGGACCCGAGAACCACUCCAACUUGAUUUCGGCGUUUCCGGUGAGUUCCAUUUGAAUUUUCUUUUCUACUCUUGCUUUGUAUAUCGAAAAGCUUAAUAACCCAUUGUGUAUUUGAAAGUUUUUGUAAGGAAUUUGAAAGCUUAAUAACCCAUGUCUCAGAAAAAAAAAAAUACAUUGGAAAAGAAGAGAAAACAAAGCUUGUUGACACUUUACAUUCAAUGCUUAUGCUCUCACUUGAGGUGAAGGAGAAAUAGUGAGAGGUGGCGGAGAAAUGAUGUUGUUGGUGGAGUAACCGUUUUUGGAGAAGAUGAAGGAGAGAGAGAAAACAAUGUUUUUUUUUUCCUUUUUUUGUUGACACUUGUUAUUUGGGAUCCACAUCAAUAGCUUUUUAAAUGGUUUUCACGCUCCUUAAAAAAAGUGGGUAACAGGCACAGUGACAGGUGUCUAUAUGACACAAUAAAGAUUGUCUUGAAGGGUUCAUAUGAUACGCCGCUCGGUUGAGGGGUUCAAGUGAAAAAUAUGAAUAAAUUUAGAGUUCUAUC
This is a long non-coding RNA of Lycium barbarum (goji berry), 1001 nucleotides long. RefSeq lists it as uncharacterized. The transcript is spliced from 2 exons. The record is from RefSeq and is a predicted model, not a curated record. NCBI's taxonomy places the organism in Eukaryota, Viridiplantae, Streptophyta, Magnoliopsida, Solanales, Solanaceae.